RNAcentral lists this ribosomal RNA (406 nucleotides) under uncultured bacterium. RNAcentral's name for it is "partial 16S ribosomal RNA". It matches the Rfam family "Bacterial small subunit ribosomal RNA", at positions 29 to 526 of the family's 1533-position model. The record is from RNAcentral.
AUUGAACGCUGGCGGCAGGCCUAACACAUGCAAGUAGAACGAGUGGCGGACGGGUGAGUAAUGUCUGGGAAACUGCCUGAUGGAGGGGGAUAACUACUGGAAACGGUAGCUAAUACCGCAUACCAUCAGAUGUGCCCAGAUGGGAUUUGCUUGUUGGGGGGGGAACGGCGCACCAAGGCGACGCUCCCAAGCUGGUCUGAGAGGAUGACCAGCCACACUGGAACUGAGACACGGUCCAGACUCCUACGGGAGGCAUCAGUGGGGAAGAUGGCACAAUGGGCGAAAGCCUGAGGCAGCCAUGCCGCGUGUAUGAAGAAGGCCUUCGGGGUGUAAAGUACUUUCAGCGGGGAGGCGUUACCCGCAGAAGAAGCACCGGCUAACUCCGUGCCAGCCGCCGCGGUAAUAC